CAUGGGGACAUGGGGAGAUGGGGACAUGGGGCACCGUGGUGCCAGUAGCAGAGGGAUACCAGGGGUAGGAGUAUCUGGGGAGGGGGUGCCGGGGUAGGGAGAGCCUUUGGGUGCCUUACAUGGGGUGGAGGGGCUGUGGGGGGCUGUGGGGUUCCCAUGGGGUUCCUAUGGGGUUCCCGUGGGUUUCCUAUGGGGUUCCUGUGGGGUUCCCGUGGGGUUCCUAUGGGGUUCCUGUGAGGUUCCUGUGGGGUUCCCAUGGGGUUCCCAUGGGGUUCCUAUGGGGUUCCCGUGGGGUUCCCGUGGGGUUCCUGUGGGGUUCCUGUGAGGUUCCCGUGGGGUUCCCAUGGGGUUCCCGUGCUAACACCCCAUGCCAGGCACGCGCUGGACAUCCGGGAGCACUACGAGCGGAAGCUGGAGCGCGCCAACAACCUGUACAUGGAGCUGAGCGCCCUGAUGCUGCAGCUGGAGCUGAAGGAGAAGGAGCUGCUCAGGUCAGCAGGACCCCCCCAGAACCCCCCCAAAACCCCCCCCCAAGCACCCCCCCAGCACCCCAAGUGUCCCCCGUAGCCGGGUGCUGUGGGACACGGGGGGGUCCCCAGGUCACAGCCACAUCCAUGCCACCCCCGAGCCCACGGGCACCCCUUUACCUGCACCGUGGGUACCCCUUAGGGUCAGCCCGCAGUUAUAGGGUCCCUAUAGGGCAGCCCUUACCUGCCCCCGGUGGCCGCAUCCAGCUGUGUCCCAUGGGUGCCCCGUGGCCGUUGCCAUUCCCAGUUCCCCCCCAUGGGGAACCCCAUAUCCAUCCCAUGGCCACCCCCAUGCCCCUUGCCACCCCUACAUCCACCCCAUGGCCUUGACUAACCCCAUAUGCACCCCAUGGCUAUAAUCAACCCUAUAUCCACCCCAUGGCCACCCUAUGGUCAUUGCCAAGCCAAGAUCCAUCCCAAGACCCCCCCAUGCCCCUUGCCACCCCAUGGCCUUGACCAACCCCAUAUGCACCCCAUGACGCUGGCCAAUCCUAUAUCCACUCCAUGGUCUUGACCAACCCUAUAUGACUAUGGCCACC
This 1066-nucleotide long non-coding RNA is filed under the name Anas platyrhynchos platyrhynchos (common mallard). RNAcentral describes it as "lncRNA (ENSAPLG00000021738.1)". Lineage: Eukaryota; Metazoa; Chordata; Aves; Anseriformes; Anatidae. The record is from RNAcentral.